Molecule: ribosomal RNA, 305 nt
Filed under: uncultured bacterium
Lineage: Bacteria
Description: bacterial SSU rRNA
Rfam family: Bacterial small subunit ribosomal RNA
Source: RNAcentral
UAACCUACGGGGCGCAGCAGUGGGGAAUAUUGGGCAAUGGGCGCAAGCCUGACCCAGCAACGCCGCGUGAAGGAAGAAGGCUUUCGGGUUGUAAACUUCCUUUCUCAGGGACGAAGAAAGUGACGGUACCUGAGGAAUAAGCCACGGCUAACUACGUGCCAGCAGCCGCGGUAAUACGUAGGGGGCAAGCGUUAUCCGGAUUUACUGGGUGUAAAGGGAGCGUAGACGGCAGUGCAAGUCAGAUGUGAAAUCCUAUGGCUUAACCAUAGAACUGCAUUUGAAACUGUUAUUCUAGAGUAUGGGAG